CCGAAGACUUAGUGGCGAACGGGUGCGUAACACGUGAGAAAUCUGCCCCGGACUUCGGAAUAACAGUUGGAAACGACUGCUAAUACCGGAUGCCUUCAUUUGACCGCAUGGUUGUUUGAAGAAAGAUUUAUCGGUUUGGGAGGAUCUCGCGGCCUAUCAGCUUGUUGGAGAGGUAACGGCUCACCAAGGCUUCGACGGGUAGCUGGUCUGAGAGGAUGAUCAGCCACACUGGAACUGAGACACGGUCCAGACUCCUACGGGAGGCAGCAGUGGGGAAUCUUGCACAAUGGGCGCAAGCCUGAUGCAGCGAUGCCGCGUGCGGGAAGAAGGCCUUAGGGUUGUAAACCGCUUUCAGGAGGGAAGAAAAUGACGGUACCUCCAGAAGAAGGUGCGGCCAACUACGUGCCAGCAGCCGCGGUGACACGUAGGCACCAAGCGUUAUCCGGAUUUAUUGGGCGUAAAGAGCUCGUAGGCGGUUUGGUAAGUCGGGUGUGAAAACUCUGGGCUCGACCCAGAGAGGCCACUCGAUACUGCUAUGACUAGAGUACGGUAGGGGAGCGGGGAAUUCCUGGUGUAGCGGUGAAAUGCGCAGAUAUCAGGAGGAACACCAGCGGCGAAGGCGCCGCUCUGGGCCGUAACUGACGCUGAGGAGCGAAAGCAUGGGUAGCAAACAGGAUUAGAUACCCUGGUAGUCCAUC
Molecule: ribosomal RNA, 698 nt
Filed under: uncultured bacterium
Lineage: Bacteria
Description: bacterial SSU rRNA
Rfam family: Bacterial small subunit ribosomal RNA
Source: RNAcentral